RNAcentral lists this ribosomal RNA (253 nucleotides) under Dorea longicatena. RNAcentral's name for it is "partial 16S ribosomal RNA". It matches the Rfam family "Bacterial small subunit ribosomal RNA", at positions 524 to 776 of the family's 1533-position model. Lineage: Bacteria; Bacillati; Bacillota; Clostridia; Lachnospirales; Lachnospiraceae. The record is from RNAcentral.
UACGUAGGGGGCAAGCGUUAUCCGGAUUUACUGGGUGUAAAGGGAGCGUAGACGGCACGGCAAGCCAGAUGUGAAAGCCCGGGGCUUAACCCCGGGACUGCAUUUGGAACUGCUGAGCUAGAGUGUCGGAGAGGCAAGUGGAAUUCCUAGUGUAGCGGUGAAAUGCGUAGAUAUUAGGAGGAACACCAGUGGCGAAGGCGGCUUGCUGGACGAUGACUGACGUUGAGGCUCGAAAGCGUGGGGAGCAAACAGG